This 460-nucleotide ribosomal RNA is filed under the name uncultured bacterium. Its description in RNAcentral is "partial 16S ribosomal RNA". It matches the Rfam family "Bacterial small subunit ribosomal RNA", at positions 338 to 795 of the family's 1533-position model. The record is from RNAcentral.
CCUACGGGAGGCAGCAGUGAGGAAUAUUGGUCAAUGGGCGCAAGCCUGAACCAGCCAAGUCGCGUGAGGGAUGACGGUCCUAUGGAUUGUAAACCUCUUUUGUCGGGGAGCAAGGCCCGCCACGUGUGGCGGGAAGGAGAGUACCCGAAGAAAAAGCAUCGGCUAACUCCGUGCCAGCAGCCGCGGUAAUACGGAGGAUGCGAGCGUUAUCCGGAUUUAUUGGGUUUAAAGGGUGCGUAGGCGGAAGGUUAAGUCAGCGGUAAAAUGUCGGUGCGCAACACCGGCCUGCCGUUGAAACUGGUCUUCUUGAGUGAGCGAGAAGUAUGCGGAAUGCGUGGUGUAGCGGUGAAAUGCAUAGAUAUCACGCAGAACUCCGAUUGCGAAGGCAGCAUACCGGCGCUCAACUGACGCGGAGGCACGAAAGCGUGGGGAUCGAACAGGAUUAGAUACCCUUGUAGUC